GGAUUUUUGUUUUCUCGUUUGUAUUUCCCCGACAAAUGUGAUACUGAAAUAAUGCCAGAAAACCUAGGUUAUCAUGGUUACUACCCUGGGCAAACAAAAUGCGCUCAAGAUCAAAAGAAAAAUGAGGACUUAAAUUGUCGUAUGGUUAACAAUACAUAACAUGAUCAUACAUAUGUUUACACUUUCUUCGUACGACUACCUGAC
Molecule: long non-coding RNA, 204 nt
Filed under: Mytilus galloprovincialis (Mediterranean mussel)
Lineage: Eukaryota; Metazoa; Mollusca; Bivalvia; Mytilida; Mytilidae
Source: RNAcentral